GCCAGAGUUGGCUCCGAUGGGGAUUCUCUGAUGCUCAAGUUUGUUUUCAAAAAAAUAGAAGAGAAAGGGCAUGCAAGAGAAAUUGCGCGCAUGUAUCUUGGGGUCCCCUAGAGGCCCUUUUGUAGGCAAGGGUUGAGAGGUCGUUUUGAGCAGGUUGUUUAGCCAAUUUGGAUGCGAUAUGAUGAGAUUUUUUGUUGAAAUUUUUG
RNAcentral lists this long non-coding RNA (206 nucleotides) under Elaeis guineensis (African oil palm). RNAcentral's name for it is "long non-coding RNA (EGUI_LNC025600)". Lineage: Eukaryota; Viridiplantae; Streptophyta; Magnoliopsida; Arecales; Arecaceae. The record is from RNAcentral.